Molecule: long non-coding RNA, 1714 nt
Organism: Panicum virgatum (switchgrass)
Lineage: Eukaryota; Viridiplantae; Streptophyta; Magnoliopsida; Poales; Poaceae
Exons: 6
Source: RefSeq, a predicted model, not a curated record
UUUUAGCACUUAACAACCGUCUACAACGACCUCCUCUCCCCGCGCUCGUCCCCUCCCCGCCUCCGCCCUCAAGGCUCUAUCUCCAGAUCUGGCGCGUCCGUCGGCGCAGAUGGGUACGGGCGGGCAGGCAGGGUCGGCGAUGGCCUCGCGCAAGCCCAGGUACCCCGAACACCGUCUCCGAGUCCGACGGCGCGGCCUCCGACGCCAACCCCGUCGGCGGCGACGGCGCCGGCUCCACCGCCGGCGGCAAUGCCUUGCAGCUCCCACCCCCACGCCAUUCCCGCGGGGAGGCCGCCGCCAUCAAGCCCCUCAGCUCGCGCUCCCAUGGACCCACCAUGCUGCUCCAUGGUCCCCUCCUUCACAGAGCCGCGCCCCAAGCACCCCUGCAGCGCUGCCGCCCCGUCCUCCGUGGAGCAAGCUCAAGAGGCCGUCGCAGCCCUGGAACCUCGUCGAUUCAGUGACCACGCAGAGAACUCCGUUUGCUUCUACCGGCAGCCAUGGAGAUGGAUUGGAUUACGUAUGAGGACUCCCCCAUUGGUCUAGCACGAAUCGAUGAGGGUCUUUUGGGAGAUCGACGAUGCGCCCAUGGGAGCUGGUGCCCAUGCUGCGAGAUCGGCAGCUGACUUCCAUGGAUCCUCCAUGAUUUUGCAAAUGAACUGGGGAGCGUGCAUUAUUGAUCUGGACAUCGAUUGGAACAAGGAGCCUUCAAUCGAUCUGAACGACAAUGCGGCCAAGAGAUGCACUUUGUUUUUAUCUUCGCGAGAAACAUCUGGCCUACCAGCACCAACAGGAUGUCAAGCUAAGCAGUGGCAUGAGGAACCUGGAGAUCGGGUACCACCAGGUCUAGCAUGACAGGGAUUUCACUUCCCAGAUGCCAUUCACCUUCCGGGUGCAACCCAGCCACCCCAACCUGCAGGAAGACGAGUAGCUUGGCUACUAAAUCCUGCUAUGCCACUCUGCACCGAAGGGAUUUUGGAUUACCUUUUGUUGAUGGUUUUUUAUGGUGUACGACAGACACCCGACUGAGAUCAAUGAUGAGUCACAGGAUAGCUUUCUUUUCCAGCCAAGCGAGUACAAGACUGGGAUUGUGCAAGACGUCCACAAGUGUUGUUCCCAACUCGGCAAUUCUCGCGAAAAAAAACUCGGUAACUUUCGAACACACGGUUUAUUCUAACUUUGAACUGAAUCUAGGACAACGGUACUCAUGGAUUUCUAAAUUUCCAGUGUUGUCAUGUUGCCAAAAAAAAUGCAUUUAGAAGUGAAAAUAGAAAAAAAAGUAUGGAUACAACUUUUAUGCACAUUGCAUAUCAUUAUAAUUAUAAUGAAGAGUUCGUCUCUCUAUUACUUCUGUUUGCCGGGUUCGCUAAUUUGGAUCCUUUCCUGUCCUGGUCCUGGUCCUGGCUGCUGCUACGACUACGAGGGACGGAGGGAGAGAGGAAAAGACGUUGGACGGCGCCGCGCCUUGCACUAGACGCCGCAAGGAGAGGAGUAUCGCAGAUACCAAGGCUGGCACCAGCCACGAUGCGCAUGUACACCCAUACAUGCAUGCAACGCUUCGGAAUUCCUGCUGAAAGCCAACGGCAAGGUGCUAUUGGAUGCAUGUGUGUGAAAAGAGGUUUGGAAUUUGGAGCGCAUUAGUAAUCCACCGUGUACUGCCUCCAUACGCCUAACAUAAUUAAUAUCAAGUUUGAAAAAUGGUUGUGCGCCUAACAAA